GCUCUUCCUAAAAUCCAUAGCAUUUUUUAUUCAAAGUUGUCAAUUUUGCCUGCUAUGAACUUCCUCUUUUAAACAUCUGAUCAAACUACCUGAUAGUUCAAAUAGAAGAGCAGGAAAUAAAAUUACACCUGAAAGUUAUGUAAGUUUUAAAGUUAGUUUUUUCACUUCCUGCAGGUGAAAGGAAUCAUUUAAUUGAUUUAACGACAACAGGUGAAUGAAGUAAACUGAUGUUUCUUUUGAAGUUUAGCUACUUCCUUUCUGCCAGUUGUUUACUAUAGUAAAAUGAUCAGAAAAACUUCAUGCAUUUUCACAUGUAAUAUUUUAUUUUUAAAUGUAUAAAGACAUGGCUUUGGUCAUGAUUGUUUAUAGAGGUCAGAUAAUGCAAAUAACAAGAGUAAAUUUGUAUUUUUUUUUUUUGAGACAGAGUUUCACUCCUGUUGCCCAGGCUGGAGUGCAAUUGCAUGAUCUUGACUCACUGCAACCUCCACCUGCUGGGUUCAAGCGAUUCUCUUGCCUCAGCCUCCCGAGUAGCUGGCAUUACAGGUGCCUGCCACCACACCCAGCUAAUUUUUGUACUUUUUUAGUAGAGACGGGGUUUCAACAUGUUGGCCAGGCUGGUCUCGAACUCCUGACCUCCGGUGAUCCACCCGCUUCGGCCUCCCAAAUUUCUGGGAUUACAGGCAUGAGCCACUGUGCCCAGCCAAAUUUGUAUUUUUUUAAAGAUGAUGUCUGAUUUUUUUAAAGACGAGGUCUCACUGUGUGGCCCAGGCUGAUGUUAAACUCCUGAGCUCAAGCAAUCCUCCUGCUUCAGCCUCCCAAAGUGCUGGGAUCACAGGCGUGAGUCACCAUGCCC
This 853-nucleotide long non-coding RNA is filed under the name Homo sapiens (human). Its description in RNAcentral is "HSALNT0307702". The record is from RNAcentral. Lineage: Eukaryota; Metazoa; Chordata; Mammalia; Primates; Hominidae.